Molecule: non-coding RNA, 106 nt
Filed under: uncultured Peptostreptococcus sp.
Lineage: Bacteria; Bacillati; Bacillota; Clostridia; Peptostreptococcales; Peptostreptococcaceae
Description: FMN riboswitch (RFN element)
Rfam family: FMN riboswitch aptamer (RFN element)
About the family: The RFN element is a highly conserved domain that is found frequently in the 5'-untranslated regions of prokaryotic mRNAs that encode for flavin mononucleotide (FMN) biosynthesis and transport proteins. This element is a metabolite-dependent riboswitch that directly binds FMN in the absence of proteins. In Bacillus subtilis, the riboswitch most likely controls gene expression by causing premature transcription termination within the 5' untranslated region of the ribDEAHT operon and precluding access to the ribosome-binding site of ypaA mRNA.
Source: RNAcentral
AUCUUCAGGGCAGGGUGCAAGUCCCUACCGGCGGUAAAGCCCGCGAGCGAAAGCAGAUUUGGUGUAAUUCCAAAGCCGACAGUUAAAGUCUGGAUGAGAGGAGAUA